UACGGGGGGGGUAAGCGUUGUUCGGAAUUACUGGGCGUAAAGGGCUCGUAGGCGGCCAACUAAGUCAGACGUGAAAUCCCUCAGCUUAACUGGGGAACUGCGUCUGAUACUGGAUGGCUUGGAUCCGGGAGAGGGAUGCGGAAUUCCAGGUGUAGCGGUGAAAUGCGUAGAUAUUGGGAGGAACACCAGUGGCGAAGGCGGCUCACUGGACCGGAACUGACGCUGAGGCGCGAAAGCGUGGGGAGCAAACAGG
Molecule: ribosomal RNA, 253 nt
Filed under: uncultured bacterium
Lineage: Bacteria
Description: partial 16S ribosomal RNA
Rfam family: Bacterial small subunit ribosomal RNA
Source: RNAcentral